UUUUGUUUUUUGAAACAGGGCUUCUCUGUGUAGCCCUGGCUGUCCUGGAACUUAUUCUGUAGACCAGGCUGGCCUCAAAUUCUUGAGAUCAGCCUGCCUAUGUCCCCGACCCCAUGCUGGGAUUAAAAGCAUGUACUGCCACCACCACCUGGCUAAUGGGUUUUUUCUUAAUUAAAAUUUAAAAAGUACUGUAUAGACUUUGAAGUCCUCAAAGGAGUAAGGAAGGUCUUGCCCUGCUUCUGACCCUUGUAUAUUUCUUGAAUGUGUUUUCAGAUUUUUAGACAUCCCAGUUUUAGGUAAGGGUAGCUCCACCUGUCACUUCAUAGUUCACCAUUCUCUCCACAGCAGUCAAGGCCACAGCUCUGACCAGACGGCAUGUAUCUCAGAAUCUACACUUCCAGAAAUGUUCUGAUGCUACCAGCCCAGGACCACUCAUGCUCCUUGUGCCAUGGCUUUGUGAACCAGCCUUUUCAUCCUGCACAGAUCUUUGAAAUAUACCACAUGCAUGAAGAUCCAAGGUGUUAGAUCUCCUAGCUAGAGUUCUACACCAGUGCUCUUAACCACUGAACAUCCCUCCAGCCUGCCCUGGGUUUUAAGAUACUGCCCAGGUCUUCUCCACAGUUGUAACCAUCUGUACUUCUGCCAUGUCACAUUCUACACUGUUAGCUCAAACCUGCAAGUCAGUAUAGUUCUGCAUCAUCAACCGCAUUAAUUAGUGGCCAAAGCAGUUUUUCGAAUCAAAACAAUUGGAUUUUGCUACAUUUCAAAUUUGUUAUUCAGUAACUGAACAGCAGUAGUUAUGUUUAAAUGGAUGAGUGUUUUGCCUGCAUACAUAUCUGUGUAAGACUUCUGUGUCUGGUGCCUGCAAAGGCUAGAAGAGGGGCAUCAGACCUGGGACUGGAGUUACACAUGGUUGUGAACCACCCAUGUGGGUGCUGGAAAUGAAGCCCGGGUUCUCAGGAAGAGCAGCCAGUGCUCUCAACCACUGAGCCAGCUCUCAAUCCCCCAGGCAGUCAUUUUUUUUAUAUAAGCAGGCUGGUUGUGGUGGGACAAGCCUGUGAUCCCAGAGGCAGAAUGAUUCUAGAUUACUUAGUAACUGUCUCACAAAACAAACAUACAUACCUAGACUAGAAGCAUAAAGGUGUGCAGGGCAAGGUAGCUCACACCACUAAUCCUAGCACUCAGAAGGCAGAGUUCUCUUGAGUUCAAGACCAGCCUGGUCUAUAUAAAGAAAGAGUUCCUAUCGCAAAGAAAAAAGAAAAAAUCUUUUCACUAAAGCCAUUUGGAAGUAUAUUUCUGUCAUUCUGCCUGAAGGCUGAAGCAUGAGAAAACUGCCCUUUUGCAACUAUGGGUUAAAAAGAAAAGAAAAAGAAAGUCAGUAGGAGGGUGCCGCAGGAGAGAUGGUUCAGUUUCCAGCACCCUACAGGGUGACUCACAACCACCUCCAGCUCCAGGGAAUCCAGUGCCCUCUCUGGCCUCAAAGGACACUGCACUCAUAUGCUAGUGUACCAUUUAAAUAAAAAUAAAAUAUUCAGGAGUCAAGUGUGAUGCUGCUUGCCUUUAAUUCUAGCACUUGGGAAGCAGAGGCAGGCAGAUCUCUGAGUUCCAGGUCAUCCAGAGCUACACAGUAAUACUAUUUCAAAAAAAGAGAGACCAUCCCACCAUCUUUCUCCAAAUGAAAGCCAUUUCCAGUAAUCAUUUAAAUAUAAACAAAAGACUGUUAAAAUGUUACUUUUAUUGAACUCACCUGAGUUAAGUGUGGGACAAUGAAACAAGUACAUGUUUUUAUUUAUAUGGAUAUAUACAGCAUGUCAAGGAGGCAGCCUUUCAAAAACAUGCUAUGGAAAAGAGGAAGACUGACAAUAUGCCUGAAUUAACAGAAGCUCUGGAUACUGAUUAACCCAUAUGCAAAUCCAGUAAUCUCCAAAGGAUUUGGCAAAGAUGUAUUUUCUUUUCAUUUCCAGUCUUUUAAAGUAAGACAGAUUUGCUUACAAUACAGCUGAUUUUAAAAGCACACAAAAUUUAACUACAAACAAUAGGAUUAAAUGCAGCAGAGUGGAGAAGGUGCCAGCAACAAAACUGACAACCCAAGGCGGUGAUGGCAGACAAUGAGGCUGCACAGUGGGGUUUGUGGAUAAUUUUAGCUUCGCCUGGCUGUUUAAUUCACAUAGUAAGAGGUCUUUACAGACACACCUGUUUAAUUAACUACAUUUGUAUUUUCUACUAUGUAAUAGGAUUAUAAGGCCACAAUAUUCCUUUGGGACAAACCCUUUAAUGAUUUUAAUAUCACUUACUCAUUCUUUUGAAGUGUAAAGUGUCUUAACUGGAUUAUGAUUAUAGAUCAUUUUUAAAUACACCAUUGCUACUAUAUUAAAAUUAUUUAUACUAUUUAUAUCUAAUAUUCAAAGAAAAUUUACUAAUAAAUGCUACAAUAGGUAUCAGUCUGACAUGCUCAUUAAUUGAUCCCAUAGGUAUAAUUAUAGGUCAUGAUAUUAGUCUAUUCUGUCUAACUAAAUCAGGAACACUGCAUUUACAGAA
Peromyscus maniculatus bairdii (prairie deer mouse) is the source of this 2538-nucleotide long non-coding RNA. RefSeq lists it as uncharacterized. Lineage: Eukaryota; Metazoa; Chordata; Mammalia; Rodentia; Cricetidae. The record is from RefSeq and is a predicted model, not a curated record.